Molecule: long non-coding RNA, 452 nt
Filed under: Carica papaya (papaya)
Lineage: Eukaryota; Viridiplantae; Streptophyta; Magnoliopsida; Brassicales; Caricaceae
Description: long non-coding RNA (CPAP_LNC004368)
Source: RNAcentral
GCCCAGAUUAAAACAAAAUGGACGGCUGAGAUCAAAAGGCAAGGGGUUAUAAAUAGAACCCCCACACCAGACCACAAACCCUAGCCGCCUGCCGCUCGCCGGAGAAGACGAACCAGAGGCCGACCGCCGCCACCCGCCGCCGCACCGGGGAAAUUUUCGACCGCCGACCGAGGUAAAUUUCAUACCCCCGACUCGUUUUUCCACGCUGAUUCCUCCUAUGGCCAAAUCGAAGCCAAAAUCCCGGCCAAACGGCCGGAAUACGCGGCCGAAGACCAGCGGCGCCGCCGCGCCCCCUCUCAGUUUUUGCCUCCGACGAGGCCCUUCCCGACCUCCGUUCGAUGCAAUUUUUAUAUCACCGUGAUCACCAUUCUUUUCUCUACAGGUUGACUGGAGCCGAAUCACCAAAACACGAACCUCGCCGGAGAGCCGCCGCAUCCGAGAGCGCCGCCGCC